AGCGAACGCUGGCGGCGUGCCUAACACAUGCAAGUCGAACGUGAAAGGGGGCAAUCCCAAGUAAAGUGGCGUACGGGUGAGUAACACGUAGGUAAUCUACCCCAGAAUCUGGAAUAACCGGCCGAAAGGCUGGCUAAUACUGGAUAGAGCGACGGAAUCCGUAAUUGGGUUUUUCGGGAAAGGGAGCCUGUAAAAAGGCCUUCGUUCUGGGAUGAGCCUGCGUCCCAUCAGCUAGUUGGUGAGGUAAAAGCUUACCAAGGCAAUGACGGGUAGCUGGUCUGAGAGGACGAUCAGCCACACUGGAACUGAAACACGGUCCAGACUCCUACGGGAGGCAGCAGUGGGGAAUCUUGCGCAAUGGACGAAGUUCUGACGCAGCAACGCCGCGGGAGUGAAGAAGGCCGUCGGGUUGUAAAGCUCUGUCGAGUGGGACGAAAAUGCUUGGAGUUCACAGCUCCAGGAACUGACGGUACCACUAAAGGAAGCACCGGCUAACUCCGUG
Molecule: ribosomal RNA, 502 nt
Filed under: uncultured bacterium
Lineage: Bacteria
Description: partial 16S ribosomal RNA
Rfam family: Bacterial small subunit ribosomal RNA
Source: RNAcentral